AUUGAACGCUGGCGGCAGGCCUAACACAUGCAAGUCGAACGGUAACAGGAAGCAGCUUGCUGCUUCGCUGACGAGUGGCGGACGGGUGAGUAAUGUCUGGGUAACUGCCUGAUGGAGGGGGAUAACUACUGGAAACGGUAGCUAAUACCGCAUAACGUCGCAAGACCAAAGAGGGGGACCUUAGGGCCUCUUGCCAUCGGAUGUGCCCAGAUGGGAUUAGCUAGUAGGUGGGGUAACGGCUCACCUAGGCGACGAUCCCUAGCUGGUCUGAGAGGAUGACCAGCCACACUGGAACUGAGACACGGUCCAGACUCCUACGGGAGGCAGCAGUGGGGAAUAUUGCACAAUGGGCGCAAGCCUGAUGCAGCCAUGCCGCGUGUAUGAAGAAGGCCUUCGGGUUGUAAAGUACUUUCAGCGGGGAGGAAGGGAGUAAAGUUAAUACCUUUGCUCAUUGACGUUACCCGCAGAAGAAGCACCGGCUAACUCCGUG
Molecule: ribosomal RNA, 490 nt
Filed under: uncultured bacterium
Lineage: Bacteria
Description: partial 16S ribosomal RNA
Rfam family: Bacterial small subunit ribosomal RNA
Source: RNAcentral